Molecule: ribosomal RNA, 497 nt
Filed under: uncultured bacterium
Lineage: Bacteria
Description: partial 16S ribosomal RNA
Rfam family: Bacterial small subunit ribosomal RNA
Source: RNAcentral
GAUGAACGCUGGCGGCGUGCCUAAUACAUGCAAGUCGAGCGAACAGACGAGGAGCUUGCUCCUCUGACGUUAGCGGCGGACGGGUGAGUAACACGUGGAUAACCUACCUAUAAGACUGGGAUAACUUCGGGAAACCGGAGCUAAUACCGGAUAAUAUAUUGAACCGCAUGGUUCAAUAGUGAAAGACGGUUUUGCUGUCACUUAUAGAUGGAUCCGCGCCGCAUUAGCUAGUUGGUAAGGUAACGGCUUACCAAGGCAACGAUGCGUAGCCGACCUGAGAGGGUGAUCGGCCACACUGGAACUGAGACACGGUCCAGACUCCUACGGGAGGCAACAGUAGGGAAUCUUCCGCAAUGGGCGAAAGCCUGACGGAGCAACGCCGCGUGAGUGAUGAAGGUCUUCGGAUCGUAAAACUCUGUUAUUAGGGAAGAACAAAUGUGUAAGUAACUAUGCACGUCUUGACGGUACCUAAUCAGAAAGCCACGGCUAACUACGAG